This 465-nucleotide ribosomal RNA is filed under the name uncultured bacterium. RNAcentral describes it as "partial 16S ribosomal RNA". It matches the Rfam family "Bacterial small subunit ribosomal RNA", at positions 339 to 795 of the family's 1533-position model. The record is from RNAcentral.
CUACGGGGGGCUGCAGUGAGGAAUUUUGCGCAAUGGGGGCAACCCUGACGCAGCAACGCCGCGUGAGUGAAGAAGGCCUUUGAGUCGUAAAGCUCUGUCAACAGGGAAGAAGUUACUUCAUAUUAAUAGUAUGUAGUAUUGACGGUACCUGUGGAGGAAGCAUCGGCUAACUCCGUGCCAGCAGCCGCGGUAAUACGGGGGAUGCAAGCGUUAUUCGGAAUCAUUGGGCGUAAAGGGCACGCAGGCGGCUCUGUCAGUCAGAUGUGAAAGCCCGGGGCUCAACCCCGGACGUGCAUUUGAAACAGCAGAGCUUGAGUACGGUAGAGGAAAGCGGAAUUCCUGGUGUAGAGGUGAAAUUCGUAGAUAUCAGGAGGAACACCGGUGGCGAAGGCGGCUUUCUGGACCGAAACUGACGCUGAGGUGCGAAGGCGUGGGUAGCGAACAGGAUUAGAUACCCUCGUAGUC